AGGUAGUUCCAAAAUGUCUUAAAAGGAAGAGAUAAAGUUAAAUUAAAAGUACUGUAUUGGGGCCCCAGGCAAUGAAUAAAAUGAGUAGAAGGAAAAAUAUUUUUUGUUCCCUACACUGGAUUGGCAUACAUGAAGAUAGCAGAGCACUCAUAAUACUCCACUACAGUGAGGACACCAUUAAUAGCAAAAUGGGAAUGAUGCUGUUGAUUCAAAGAAAACUGAAAGUCCCUUGAAAUCCUACAGCUUGUCUAGAAUAGAAACUAGAUAGAACAGAAACUAGAUAAUUUCCAAAUUUUACAAUAAUCUCUAAAAUUUAUAUAACAUAACUGACUUUAUUAAUAAUUUAGAAAAGUUUCUUUAUAUGUGAAAGUGAAAAACAUUUUUUAACAUAAAAACAAUGCUGUAUUUUAGGCAGGUAAUUAAUUAUUUAUGUUAAUUUCAUAAGCUUUGUAGCAUUUGCCAGGCUUAAAAAUUUUAAUUUAUUUUGAUUUAUUUUUCUAAAUACAUAUUAACCUUCA
This is a long non-coding RNA of Homo sapiens (human), 518 nucleotides long. Ensembl annotates it as ZRANB2 divergent transcript. Its record names the gene ZRANB2-DT. NCBI's taxonomy places the organism in Eukaryota, Metazoa, Chordata, Mammalia, Primates, Hominidae. The record is from Ensembl.